UGGGGAAUAUUGCGCAAUGGGGGCAACCCUGACGCAGCCAUGCCGCGUGAAUGAAGAAGGCCUUAGGGUUGUAAAGUUCUUUCGGUAUUGAGGAAGGUUGAUGUGUUAAUAGCACAUCAAAUUGACGUUAAAUACAGAAGAAGCACCGGCUAACUCCGUGCCAGCAGCCGCGGUAAUACGGAGGGUGCGAGCGUUAAUCGGAAUAACUGGGCGUAAAGGGCACGCAGGCGGUUAUUUAAGUGAGGUGUGAAAGCCCCGGGCUUAACCUAGGAAUUGCAUUUCAGACUGGGUAACUAGAGUACUUUAGGGAGGGGUAGAAUUCCACGUGUAGCGGUGAAAUGCGUAGAGAUGUGGAGGAAUACCGAAGGCGAAGGCAGCCCCUUGGGAAUGUACUGACGCUCAUGUGCGAAAGCGUGGGGAGCAAACAGGAUUAGAUACCCUGGUAGUCCACGCUGUAAACGCUGUCGAUUUGGGGGUUGGGGUUUAACUCUGGCGCCCGUAGCUAACGUGAUAAAUCGACCGCCUGGGGAGUACGGCCGCAAGGUUA
This 547-nucleotide ribosomal RNA is filed under the name uncultured bacterium. RNAcentral's name for it is "bacterial SSU rRNA". It matches the Rfam family "Bacterial small subunit ribosomal RNA", at positions 355 to 896 of the family's 1533-position model. The record is from RNAcentral.